Molecule: long non-coding RNA, 3644 nt
Organism: Vespa crabro (European hornet)
Lineage: Eukaryota; Metazoa; Arthropoda; Insecta; Hymenoptera; Vespidae
Exons: 3
Source: RefSeq, a predicted model, not a curated record
GCUAAAUUGAAAAAAAAAGAAAAAAAAAGAAAAAAGAAAGAAAGAAAAAAUCAACCGUAAUUCCGAUAUAAAUUCGUUUGUUAUGUUAUUGUAUUGUUCUAUUUAAAAUUAAAAUGACGUAAUGUUAAAUGUUAAAAUAGCAAACAUCUGAAAAGAUGAUGGCAAAUUCGCAGCAGGUUAAUCUGAGAAAAUACGUAAUGCUCAUCCACGCACACAUUAGACUUUGUGUAUGUGUGUAUGUGGUUGUGUGUGUGAUUAUGUUGCAAGAGAAAUAAGUCUCUGUGAUUUCUAAAAAGAAAGAAAAGAGAGAGAGAGAGAGAGAGAGAGAGAGAAAAAGAAAGAGAGAGAGAGAGAGAAAGGGAGAGAGAAAAAAACAGACGAUACAACACAUGUCAUCGGUUUCAUUCUGUAACAACGUUGAUCUCGGCAAGACACAUAAUGGACUAUCCGUUGAGGAUCAAUUUAUUAAGUGGGCACUGACGUUCGUGCGAUCGUCCCAACGUUAUUACUUUACUUGCGUCACUAUACGCCACAUGAAAAUACACACUAGUAGGUGCUAAGCACGAAACGACGAUUUACUGGGUGUGGAUUUGUUCCAUCGUUACGGAGAACAUUUGCAGUGAUCUUAUCACAUUUUUAUGCGGCUAUGGAUUGACUUUCUUUUCGUAAUAUUUUUAACGGCUCAUAAAAAAGAAAAAGAACAAAAAUAUAUAUAAAUAAUUGAAAACACGAUUUUCAUCAAAAAAUAUUUCACAUUCAAUUCUUAAUCCGAGCGUAUUAAAUCAAAAAAUUUAUUUUCAUAUUUGAUCUCACAUAAAAUCUUCGAAAUUUCAUCUCUUAUUGACAACGAAUACAACUGUCAUAUUAAAAAAAAAAAAAAAAAAAAUAUGUACAUAUACAUUUAAUCGUAUCGACAAAUAUUUUUACUUAAUUUAUCGUCUUUAACGAAAAAUUAAACUUUAAUUUUUGUUCACUUCGGCAUAGAAUUAAUAUUUUAUUCUUAAUAAAUUAUCGUUGAUUAAGUCGAUGUUUUGAUUACAAAUUUAUCAUGUAUACUGUUCUACGACACUAUAGAAAAGAACGGAAGUACGUAGUCAUGUAAGAUCGACAAGAGAAUAUCGAUCUCGACAUGCCGGUGAUCCAUGAUAAUAUUCAAUGUAAAUCAACGAUGCAUAGCACGUCAUCGGAAGACAUAACGAGAACAAGAAAAAAAAAGAGAGAGAGAAAAGAAAGAGAGAGGUAGAGGAAGAAAAAGAAAGAGAAGGACCUUUCCAAUUGGUAGUACCCGUAAUUAGAAUAGCUAAGCACGCAACUCUUUCUCUCUCUCUCUCUCUCUCUCUCUCUCUCUCUCUCUCUCUCUCUCUCUCUUUCUCUUUAUUUCUAAUCGUAGAACUCUUUUCAACAGCUAAAUAUAUUCCUCUUAUUUACUUCCAUUUAAAUAACAUGUUUCAUACGUUUCGUCAACACAGAUAUUAAUUAAUAUUAUUUUCAAAAAUCUUUAUUAAUUAUUCUAUAAAGUAGUUUAACUUCUGUUACUCAUUCGCCAUUAUCUAGUCAUUUAUCAUCAUUUUUUUCGUUUUCUCAUAUUAAUUAUUGAAAUAAAUUAUAUUGAUAUCACUCUCAAGUAAUAUUUUUUAACGACUUCAAAUCCAUCAUCAUCGUCAUCAAUUUUAAUGAAGUAGAAAGAGAAGAAGAAGACUAAAAAGAGGAAGAAGAAGGUCAUUCGUAUACUUGAUAUGGUCAGAACCGAAGAAGAGGGUAACUUGACUUUAAUCUCGAUACAAUAUUAACGCAUACGGAAUGCGGUCAGAAACAUUACAUAUGGAAACGUUCAUUACGUUUUGCUGCUUUGAAGAAAAUAGCGAAGGAUAUGUAUAUAUAAUACAUUGUAAAUCUCUUUGAAUGAUUUUAUUCUCAGAAUGUUCAUGUUACUCAUUGAUCUUCGAAAGGUUUGAGAAUAAGAAGAAAUAAACAAAGAAAAAAGAGAGAAAUGAAGAGAAGGAAAAAGACGUUCUUAUUAUUUAUAAAAUUAUAAUAUAUGUGUAUGUAUGUACGCUUAUGCAUGUGUGUCUAAAAGGAUAAUAAUUGAAGACUGAUAUAUUACAAUAAAAAUAACUUUUUGUUUAUAAGGAAAAAUUAAAGAAAUAUUCUCAUCGUUUGCCAAUGUAUAAUGUACAAAAAUAAUAAUUGGAAACUUAAUAUUAUAAUAAAUAUAUUUUCAUUCAUCAAAGAGAGAGAGAGAGAGAAAGAGAGAAACACACAUACACACAUAAAUAGGCAAACAACAGUUAGAAAGAUUUUUGUCAUUUGCAAAAGUAUAAUAUAAAAAAAAAUAAUAAUUGAAAACUAACACGUGUGUGUGACAAUAAAGAUAUCUCUUCGUUUGAAAAGCAGUCGAUCUCUUAUUCAACGUCGCCAUUCAAAAGAUAUUCCUUUUUCUGCAUUUGCUGUGGAAAAUCAAUAAACGCGCGCGUACACGACUAAUGUAUAUGGUAAGCUAUAAAUACAAAUUGUCAUUCCGCGCGGUCGAGUUUCUGUAGCCAUCAGAGAAGUUGUUCCUUUGAAUUCCCUUUCGCCGAAGACAUCCUUCGAAAUAGUAUAUAGCGUAGAUUGUAAAGUAUCUGCCGAGUUAUAUUUCUAUACAGGAUGUUCCACUUUGAUCGAUUCCACCUGAGUUUUAUACCUGAUGUUUUUGGAUAUAUGUGGAAAAUUUUCCACGAAAGACAUUACGUGGGUGUCGAUACAAUUCGUAUACUUCGUGAAAUGAUUUCGAAUGAAAUUGGUUGGAAUAACAAUCAAACGAAGCAGCUCGUAUUCUCGAACGGCGAAGAAAAACAAAGGAAUCGUGCUUAUCGUAACACGAUCGGCAUCGUAAACGGAACAAUGAAUUUCUCUAUCGUGAAGUAUAUCUUCUGACGUAACGAGUAUAAAAUACGAGACAACUGGUUCACAAAUUUGAUGUAUCUCUUCAAAUUAAAGUCCUUCACACAUGUAUCAACGUAAAACAAAAGACGUAAAAAAAAAUUUUAUAAGGAUGAAAUUUUUACGGCAUAUGUCUUAUGUUCAAUCAAUCACAUACCCUUCCCUGCAUUAAACCUGAUAUUUGAAUUUUUAUAGAUCCAACACGAUAACAAUAUACAGAUUUAAAUAUUAUGUACCUAUACAUUGCAAUAGAAAUUUUCAAAAGAGCAUUUGUGUUUUCGUUUAAUAAAAUGUUAAUCCUAUUAAUAGAAAAACAAAGAUGCAGAAGGCAACAAUUAACACUUAAGAAUGAUAUUUACGCGCUAUUUUUUUAUGAUCAUCUUUUAUUGAUCAAAAUUUAUGUCUUACGGCAGUUUUAUGUGAUGGCAUUUACAUACUACGAUUUACAUUUUACGUCUUAUGUAUUACAUCAAUGCAUAUGUGAACAUCUUUAACAUCAGAAUUUUGUUUAAAGUUCAUCAUGUACAUAUAUAUCUAUGAUCAUUAAUUCCUUGGUCCCUAUGGUAUUAUCUUAUAGCGAAAAAUAUCAAUAUAUUUCUGUAAUGUUUAUAUCUAACGAAAAUAUGACAAGCCAAUGAAAUAUAUCUAGAAACAAGCAAUAUGCCAAUAAUAACAAUUUUCUCAUCGAUGACAAUUUGUAAAUAAACAAGUCUGAAAACUGA